Roseofilum reptotaenium AO1-A is the source of this 389-nucleotide non-coding RNA. It matches the Rfam family "transfer-messenger RNA". From Rfam's summary of the family: Bacterial tmRNA, also known as 10Sa RNA or SsrA, is named for its dual tRNA and mRNA-like properties. Lineage: Bacteria; Bacillati; Cyanobacteriota; Cyanophyceae; Desertifilales; Desertifilaceae. The record is from Rfam.
GGGGCUGUAAUGGUUUCGACGGGAUAGUGAAAGCUGUUCUGUGAUGCAAGCCGAGAGUGAGUCCCCUCUCGUAAAUCAAGGCUCAAACUAAAUGUAACUGCGAACAACAUCGUUCCUUUCGCUCGUAAGGCUGCUGCUGUAGCCUAAAUCUAGCCUCAAACAGGCGCGAGCCAUCAUAGUCCGACUCCGUUAAGGUCUAUGGUGAAACCCCAACGGAUGCUCCCUAAAACAGCUUCUAGUCAAUUGAAGGGCUAAGACUUUACUAGAAAUCCCCACCAUUCGGGGUCAAGAAUGGUUCCUGCCCAGAGGAUUGAGAUGGGAUAAGCUUGUGAAUGAACAGAGAGUAAUAGCUAUUGCGGACGGCAGUUCGAUUCUGCCCAGCUCCAUUA